UACGUAGGGUGCGAGCGUUAAUCGGAAUUACUGGGCGUAAAGCGUGCGCAGGCGGUUUUGUAAGCCAGAUGUGAAAUCCCCGGGCUCAACCUGGGAACGGCAUUUGGGACUACAAGGCUAGAGUGUGUCAGAGGGAGGUAGAAUUCCACGUGUAGCAGUGAAAUGCGUAGAGAUGUGGAGGAAUACCGAUGGCGAAGGCAGCCUCCUGGGAUAACACUGACGCUCAUGCACGAAAGCGUGGGGAGCAAACAGG
Molecule: ribosomal RNA, 253 nt
Filed under: uncultured bacterium
Lineage: Bacteria
Description: partial 16S ribosomal RNA
Rfam family: Bacterial small subunit ribosomal RNA
Source: RNAcentral